CAAAUGAUGUGUGAAAAUGGAAUUACCAUCGGAAGGCGCCUGGCGCAGGUUGACGACAAGAUGCCGUGUGCAUACCACCUCAACUGUUACUCGUACCACUGAA
Trypanosoma cruzi strain CL Brener is the source of this 103-nucleotide small nucleolar RNA. It matches the Rfam family "Small nucleolar RNA TBR12". From Rfam's summary of the family: TBR12 was one of seventeen snoRNAs identified in Trypanosoma brucei. Together with TBR2, TBR6 and TBR4 it is a part of snoRNA gene cluster that is tandemly repeated. The record is from Rfam. NCBI's taxonomy places the organism in Eukaryota, Euglenozoa, Kinetoplastea, Trypanosomatida, Trypanosomatidae.